GGCUCAGUUACAGGAUAAACACAUCCCUCCAGAGCCCUACUCUUCUAAAUGGAGAUGAGAAACUAUAUUAGAAGGAACGUUUUGUUACAGGCAAGAUUUAGCAACUCUGCUUAUAUCAGUAACAAAGGCCAGAAGAACUUACUCUUUCCGUGUCACUUCAUCAUAAGCCUAUAGUAAGAUAUGUUUUCUACAUCUGUUAGAAAAAGCACCCCUCUUUCAUGUUGUGACCAUUCUUAAUGCAUUCUUCAUGCCUGACCGAGAUUAUAGCAGAAAAUGGUGAAACUACUGUUAGA
Passer domesticus (house sparrow) is the source of this 293-nucleotide long non-coding RNA. RefSeq lists it as uncharacterized. The record is from RefSeq and is a predicted model, not a curated record. NCBI's taxonomy places the organism in Eukaryota, Metazoa, Chordata, Aves, Passeriformes, Passeridae. The transcript has 3 exons.